UGGCGGACGGGGGAGUAAUGUCUGGGAAACUGCCUGAUGGAGGGGGAUAACUACUGGAAACGGUAGCUAAUACCGCAUAACGUCGCAAGACCAAAGAGGAGGACCUUCGGGCCUCUUGCCAUCGGAUGUGCCCAGAUGGGAUUAGCUAGUAGGUGGGUAACGGCUCACCUAGGCGACGAUCCCUAGCUGGUCUGAGAGGAUGACCAGCCACACUGGAACUGAGACACGGUCCGG
RNAcentral lists this ribosomal RNA (234 nucleotides) under uncultured bacterium. Its description in RNAcentral is "partial 16S ribosomal RNA". It matches the Rfam family "Bacterial small subunit ribosomal RNA", at positions 96 to 334 of the family's 1533-position model. The record is from RNAcentral.